CGUAGGGGGCGAGCGUUGUCCGGAAUCAUUGGGCGUAAAGAGCGUGUAGGCGGCCCGGUAAGUCCGCUGUGAAAGUCCAGGGCUCAACCCUGGAAGGCCGGUGGAUACUGUCGGGCUCGAGUCCGGAAGAGGUGAGUGGAAUUCCUGGUGUAGCGGUGAAAUGCGCAGAUAUCAGGAGGAACACCAAUGGCGAAGGCAGCUCACUGGGACGGUACUGACGCUGAGACGCGAAAGCGUGGGGAGCAAACAGGAUUAGAUACCCUGGUAGUCCACGCCGUAAACGAUGGUCACUAGGUGUGGGGGGUGUCGACUCCCUCCGUGCCGGAGCUAACGCAUUAAGUGACCCGCCUGGGGAGUACGGCCGCAAGGCUA
This 372-nucleotide ribosomal RNA is filed under the name uncultured organism. Its description in RNAcentral is "bacterial SSU rRNA". It matches the Rfam family "Bacterial small subunit ribosomal RNA", at positions 526 to 896 of the family's 1533-position model. The record is from RNAcentral.